GCAAACAAAAAUAUUGGAAACCUACUGGCUAGACUAUGCCCCUCAAAAUGUGGUCAUCCUGGUGACCCUAAAAGAGGCAGUAUGGUACAGGAGAAAAAGAACUGGAUGUAGAGUAAGAGGACCUCCAGCAUAGUGGAAAGAGUGUUGAAAUUGGAAUCAGAAAGAUCCCUAAAUUCACCAUCUACUUCAAGAACUUCUCAGAUGUGUGAUCCUGGACUUCUCUGAGUCUCAGUUUCUCAUCUGUAAAAUGAAGGCGUUGGACUACAUGGUUUCUGAGGUUCCUUUCUGAUCUCUAUCUCUUCAACACAAUACGGUAAAAUGGAUGGAGUGUUCAAUUUGGAAUCAGAAAGAACUAGGCAAAAAUUCCACCUUGGACUCUUCCAACGCAUGUAGAUAUCCAAGUUGCAAUUCCUGGGCUAACUAUACCCAUUUAACACCUCAGAAUCACAGAAAUCCAGAAAUGGAAGGGACUUCAGAGGCCAAGAAGACAUACCACCUGGAUAUGAGAACAAAUCAUGUCUAUACCAUCUCCAAUUAUUGAUCCUCCAGUCUUUGCUCAGAGACAAGAAUGAAAUAAAGAAUGAAGACACAUUUCCUCAAAGGCAUGUUUCAAUAAGCCUCUAUUGGUCUCUAUAAUUCCAACUGUUUUCACCAGUUCUUACUUCUGGGAUCAAGUUUCAAUUCCUCUACAUGGAUGUCCUUCAAAUUCUAGAAACUAGUUUUCAUGUCAAACCAAAUCUUCUCUUCUUCAAGUUAGAAAUCCCCCAGUUCCUUCAGUCUAAUCUUGCAGGACAUAUUCUGGUUUAAGGCAUUUUAAAAAACUGAUUACAGUCUAAUGCCUUCUACUGCAUUAUGAGCUCUUCCUUCCCUUUCAAGUAAUUGAGAAAGGGCGCCAUCUUGGUUGUCUUUCUUUAGAUGUCCUCUAGAUUAGCAGUGUCCUUCCUAAAAUAUGGUGCUCAGAACUAUACAUUUAUCCUGAAGAUGUGGUCUGUAUGGGGCAUAGUAGAAUGGGCUAAUCCUUUCCUUCAUUCUAGAUACCCAAUCAACUAGAAUACAAACUAUGACUGCAUUAACAUCAUGACCUGCCAUACUGUACCAAUGACUCAUUCUGAAUUUGGAGUAAGCCACAGUCCCUUGACCUUUUUCUUGAAAAUGAUUGUCUAGUCAAACAUCCUUAUCUCUUUCAAAGACUUGUAUUUUUUUCAUUCAAAUUUAGAACUUUGCAUUUAUUACUCUUAAAUUUUGUUUUAUUUGAUUUAGUCUAUUGUUCUAUUCAGUCGACAUCUUUUGGGACCCUAUUUUGUUAUUCAUCAUGUUUGCUGACCUUUCCAGUUUUGUGUUAUCUGCCAGCUGUUAAGCAUGCCAUUUAUUCUACCAUUACUACAAAUGUUAAAAAACAAACAAACAAACUUACAGAUCAAACUACAGAUCCAGGGAGUACUCUACUAGAGAUUUCCUUCCAUAUUGACCCAUAAGUGACUAGCGUCUGGUCCCAUUAUUCAACUAAUCUGGCAGUGGGUCAACCAGCAUGUAUUAAGCAUCACUGUGUUGUAGGUUCUGUGCUAUGCAGUAGCUACAAGGAGAGGAAUAAAAGAGCUCGAAUUCCAAAGGGAGGAACAACAUGUAAAUAAUGACAUAUCUACAACACAUGGAUGCACACACAGAGAAUAUGAAAGGUAAUCGCAAAGGCAGGACACUAGGCAAGAGGAGGAGUACAAUUACUGGGGAAGGAUUCCUAUAAAAAAUAUCAUCAAACUCCAAAAUUAAUGGGGCUCCUGAACCCUACAUAAGGAACCCUGUUGCUACAUACUGAUUUAGAAAACUACAAAUUCACAUUAUCUUGUUCUUUUGGAUUUUUACUUUUGUCAAGCACAUCCCAAUUACAUUUCAACCUGGUUUAAUAGCUUGGGACUAUUCCAUGUUUGAUGCCUCUUCUGUAGAAGGUUGAAUUUGAUUUGAGUCCUAAAGAGAAACUAGGGAAAAGCAAAGAGAUGGAAAUAAGAAGGGGAGAGCACUGGGACAGCCAAUGCAAGGCACGCAGAUUCGAAAUGAGGUAUGAUGUUUGAGGAACACAUUCACUUGGAUUGAAGCCACCCACAUGUUUUAUAGCCUCCUUCUUCCUCAUCUUAUGAUGAGGAGCAUCUUACGAGCAUCUUCUGAUCUUAUGAGCAUCAAGAUCUCUAGCUGUCCAAAGCCUACUAUUUGUAUACUAGGAAGUGUAACUUGUUCCAAAAUUAUCUCACUCCUACCAAAAAUCUCAUCUUUCCCAACUUAGCUAGUGGUUAGGAAAUCUGAUGGUCAUAAUUAUGGUGAUGGAGAAAGUGGAAAAUGUAGGAAGGACACAAAGCCUGGUGUAGCCUACCAGCCCUAAGUGCUGCUCUGGUGAAGUCUGGCUCAGCCCCCGGCAGGAGCUUCUCUAAGUUCCGAUCUCCAUGUGGAUUUCCCAGAAGUCCUCAGCCAGAAAUCCCAGUGGUGUCUUCAGCCAGAGUUCCACCAAUGCAGAAUGACUCCAAGGAAAAGCGUGUCUCUUCAGCUUUACUCACCUAUGCAGAAUCCAAAACCAGACCAUGUUGGUCUCUUCUUUUAUACCCCUUUUUUGGUAUUGUUUCCUGUCUCUCCCCCUCUUCACAGAAACCACUUGCAGCCUUUCAAUUUGCCUAGGACUGCCCAGGACUGGGCAAUGCCCUUUGGAGGUGAGAGUUUUCUCUAGUACGUGACUUGGGAAGUCUCUCAUUUAAGUGUAAAGUAGGGGUCUUGUGAGUUCUUCAUUGAUUGAGUUAAAGGUUGCUGAUAGAGCACAUUAAAAUAGACAAAGAGAGUUCAUUCUCUCUUCACAAGACGGUUCUACCAAAUCGCUAUAUUCUUUUAAGAUGGAGUUCAAGCAUGCCCUAUCACAGGCUCUUUCCUGACCCCCCCCCCCCAAAGUACUAGUGCCCUGCCUCUCAAACUGCCUUACCUUUGACUCCUCUUCAUUUAUUUAUCCUUAUUUAUAAUCUAUAAAUACGUCUAUAUGUACUUGCCUCUCCCAUUAGAACAGAAGCACUUUAAGGAUAGGAAUUUCAUUUUUGGUCUGUGCCUCACACUGAAUAAGUGGGUAAUGAGAUCAUAGAUUUAAAGCUGGAAGAAACUGAAGAACCUAAAGCCAAGAGAGGUUAUAUGACUUGCCCAAGGUCAUACCUAAGAUGGCAGAGGCAGGAUUUGUUUGGAACUCAAGUUCUCUGGUUCCCAAACCAGCAAACUUUCCUCAGUACCUUGCUAACUGAUAAGCCAUAAACAUAUUGGUCCAAUUUAAAAUGUAUCUUCCAAAAUAAAAUCCCCAAUUAAAAUCUAAGAAAAUGGAAAGGUUAAUUAAUAUGGCCACAUUACUAUAUGCAAUUUUUCAAAAGUAUAGCUUUUCAGGUUAACUUCAGCAUUCAACUUUUUUACUUUUUUCUUUCACUGUGUUCUGUCUUGCUGUCUUUAGUGAUUGAAGAUUCCAUUCACAUCUAAACUAUUAUAAGCAGACUUUAUGAUGGCCAUUGGCUCUUUUUCAGAUAAAAAUAAAUAUUUCUAUUAUUUAAAAGAAAAAUAUAUGUUUGGCUAUAUGCUGUAAAUAGUCUGGAGUAGUCUUGUCAAAAUAAAGUUUCAGAUUUGUUUUUAA
Monodelphis domestica (gray short-tailed opossum) is the source of this 3640-nucleotide long non-coding RNA. RefSeq lists it as uncharacterized. The record is from RefSeq and is a predicted model, not a curated record. Lineage: Eukaryota; Metazoa; Chordata; Mammalia; Didelphimorphia; Didelphidae.